UGGAUGCUAGCCGUCAGCAAGCAUGCUUGUUGGUGGCGCAGCUAACGCAUUAAGCAUCCCGCCUGGGGAGUACGGCCGCAAGGUUAAAACUCAAAGGAAUUGACGGGGGCCCGCACAAGCGGUGGAGCAUGUGGUUUAAUUCGACGCAACGCGAAGAACCUUACCAGCCCUUGACAUGCCCGGACGGUUUCCAGAGAUGGAUUCCUCCUAGCAAUAGGUCGGGACACAGGUGCUGCAUGGCUGUCGUCAG
This 250-nucleotide ribosomal RNA is filed under the name uncultured bacterium. Its description in RNAcentral is "partial 16S ribosomal RNA". It matches the Rfam family "Bacterial small subunit ribosomal RNA", at positions 810 to 1058 of the family's 1533-position model. The record is from RNAcentral.